AGCUCAGUUGGUAGAGCGCCUGCUUUGCAAGCAGGAUGUCAGCGGUUCGAGUCCGCUAAUCUCCACCUGUGGU
Molecule: transfer RNA, 73 nt
Filed under: Halotia wernerae CENA160
Lineage: Bacteria; Bacillati; Cyanobacteriota; Cyanophyceae; Nostocales; Nodulariaceae
Description: tRNA-Ala
Rfam family: tRNA (bases 1-65)
About the family: Transfer RNA (tRNA) molecules are approximately 80 nucleotides in length. Their secondary structure includes four short double-helical elements and three loops (D, anti-codon, and T loops).
Source: RNAcentral